UACCUGGGCCCCGAGUGGUGACCGCUAUUAUUAGGUUUAAAGCGUUCGUAGCCGGUUUGCUAAGUCCCUAAUGAAAUUCGGCAGCUAACUGUCGAAAUUGUUGGGGAUACUGGCAGGCUUGAGACCGGGAGAGGUAGAGGGUAUUCUUGGGGUAAGGGUAAAAUGGGAUAAUCCCCGGCAGACAACCGAUGGCGAAGGCAUCUGACCAGAACGGCUCUGACGGUGAGGGACGAAAGCCAGGGGAGCGAACCGG
This 253-nucleotide ribosomal RNA is filed under the name uncultured archaeon. Its description in RNAcentral is "partial 16S ribosomal RNA". It matches the Rfam family "Archaeal small subunit ribosomal RNA", at positions 474 to 727 of the family's 1478-position model. The record is from RNAcentral.